RNAcentral lists this unclassified non-coding RNA (349 nucleotides) under soil metagenome. RNAcentral's name for it is "partial contains 5.8S ribosomal RNA, internal transcribed spacer 2, and large subunit ribosomal RNA". The stretch from base 1 to 119 matches the Rfam family "5.8S ribosomal RNA", at positions 35 to 154 of the family's 154-position model. The record is from RNAcentral.
GAUGAAGAACGCAGCGAACUGCGAUAAGUAAUGUGAAUUGCAGAAUUCAGUGAAUCAUCGAGUCUUUGAACGCACAUUGCGCCCCCUGGCAUUCCGGGGGCAUGCCUGUCCGAGCGUCAUUGCUGCCCUUCAAGCCCGGCUUGUGUGUUGGGUCGUCGUCCCCCCCGGGGGACGGGCCCGAAAGGCAGCGGCGGCACCGCGUCCGGUCCUCGAGCGUAUGGGGCUUUGUCACCCGCUCGAUUAGGGCCGGCCGGGCGCCAGCCGGCGUCUCCAACCUUCUAUUUUACCAGGUUGACCUCGGAUCAGGUAGGGAUACCCGCUGAACUUAAGCAUAUCAAUAAGCGGAGGA